AUUGAACGCUGGCGGCAUGCCUUACACAUGCAAGUCGAACGGCAGCACGGGAGCUUGCUCCUGGUGGCGAGUGGCGAACGGGUGAGUAAUGCAUCGGAACGUGCCCUGAAGUGGGGGAUAACGUAGCGAAAGUUACGCUAAUACCGCAUAUUCUGUGAGCAGGAAAGCAGGGGAUCGCAAGACCUUGCGCUCUGGGAGCGGCCGAUGUCGGAUUAGCUAGUUGGUGGGGUAAAGGCCUACCAAGGCGACGAUCCGUAGCGGGUCUGAGAGGAUGAUCCGCCACACUGGGACUGAGACACGGCCCAGACUCCUACGGGAGGCAGCAGUGGGGAAUUUUGGACAAUGGGCGAAAGCCUGAUCCAGCCAUGCCGCGUGAGUGAAGAAGGCCU
RNAcentral lists this ribosomal RNA (389 nucleotides) under uncultured bacterium. RNAcentral's name for it is "bacterial SSU rRNA". It matches the Rfam family "Bacterial small subunit ribosomal RNA", at positions 30 to 417 of the family's 1533-position model. The record is from RNAcentral.